RNAcentral lists this small nucleolar RNA (81 nucleotides) under Cavia porcellus (domestic guinea pig). Its description in RNAcentral is "Small nucleolar RNA U3". It matches the Rfam family "Small nucleolar RNA U3", at positions 1 to 82 of the family's 219-position model. From Rfam's summary of the family: Small nucleolar RNAs (snoRNAs) are involved in the processing and modification of rRNA in the nucleolus. Lineage: Eukaryota; Metazoa; Chordata; Mammalia; Rodentia; Caviidae. The record is from Rfam by way of RNAcentral.
AAGGCUAUACUUUCAGGGAUCAUUUCUACAGUGUUUUACUAGAAAAGUUCCUCUGAUCCUGUAGAGUACCUAGAGCAUAGG